RNAcentral lists this long non-coding RNA (830 nucleotides) under Spirodela polyrhiza (greater duckweed). Its description in RNAcentral is "long non-coding RNA (SPOL_LNC002229)". The record is from RNAcentral. Lineage: Eukaryota; Viridiplantae; Streptophyta; Magnoliopsida; Alismatales; Araceae.
CUCGGUAGCUUCCAUUGACCGUUACUGGAGUGAGCGAGAGAGAGAGGCUGUCGGUGGACGGAAUUGCCUGCAUGGGGAACUUUAUCUCUCUAGAACUCGGCGACUGCGUGGGAGCCCAAAUGAGUCACACUGCUAAAGAAAGGUUCACAUCACCGAAGUCCCAAGCAAGUACUACAGAGAGAGAGAGAGAGAGAGAGAGAGAGAUCCAUGGUACGUAGAAGGCAGCGAUAGUAAGAGCAGAGCAGUGCACAGCAGAGGGAGAAGAACAAGGAAGAAGGGACGGGUGGGUCGGUCAGGGGGCGAGGGGGUCGUUGAGAGAGAGGGCGGCGAGCUGGUCGGCGGCAGCAGCGGGCGGCGGCGGCUGGUUGGCAACGUUGCGGAGGACAUCCAUGGCUUCGGCGACCUUGGCCUUGAGGGCGUCCGGGGACUCGAGCAGGUGCAGCACCUCCGUCUGGUCCAUCUCCAGCAGCAUCCCCGUCACCUUCGCCGCCGCGUCGUGCUCCAGCUGCUCCACCAGCGGGUACAGCGACUCCCCCAGCAUCUGCUUCCCCACACCACCACAACACUCCGUCACAAAAACAUUCUCUCUCUCCCCCAUCUUUCUCGCUCUCUCUCUCUAAAAGAAUAGAAAAGAAGAGAAGAGCAGAGAAGAGACGCACCGUCCUCUGCUGCUCGGGAGAGGCGUUGGCGAGGGCGGAGGCGAGGGCGCCGAUGGGGAUGGGCUGGGACACGCCGACUUGGACAAUGGGGAUGCCGCCGCCCAUGCCGAUGGGCUGGAUCGUCCCCAGGCCGACGCCCUGCAUGGGCACCUCCCCCAUGCUCCGUCCCUG